GGAAAAGAAACCAACAGGGAUUGCCCUAGUAACGGCGAGUGAAGCGGCAACAGCUCAAAUUUGAAAUCUGGCCUUUGGUCCGAAUUGUAAUUUGUAGAGGAUGCUUUUGGUGCGGUUCUUUCCGAGUUCCCUGGAACGGGACGCCUUAGAGGGUGAGAGCCCCGUACGGUUGGAUACCAAGCCUUUGUAUAGCUCCUUCGACGAGUCGAGUAGUUUGGGAAUGCUGCUCUAAAUGGGAGGUAAAUUUCUUCUAAAGCUAAAUACCGGCCAGAGACCGAUAGCGCACAAGUAGAGUGAUCGAAAGAUGAAAAGCACUUUGAAAAGAGGGUUAAAUAGCACGUGAAAUUGUUGAAAGGGAAGCGUUUAUGACCAGACUUUUUCCAAGCGGAUCAUCCGGUGUUCUCACCGGUGCACUUCGCUUGGUUGAGGCCAGCAUCGGUUUUCGUAGAGGGAUAAAAGCUUUAGGAAUGUGGCUCUUCGGAGUGUUAUAGCCUAUUGUAUAAUACCUUUAUGGGGACCGAGGUUCGCGCUCUGCAAGGAUGCUGGCGUAAUGGUCAUCAACGACCCGUCUUGAAACACGGACCAAGGAGUCGAACAUUUGUGCGAGUGUUUGGGUGUUAAACCCUCACGCGUAAUGAAAGUGAACGGAGGUGAGAGCCUUAGGGUGCAUCAUCGACCGAUCCUGAUGUUUUCGGAUGGAUUUGAGUAAGAGCAUAACUGUUCGGACCCGAAAGAUGGUGAACUAUGCGUGGAUAGGGUGAAGCCAGAGGAAACUCUGGUGGAGGCUCGCAGCGGUUCUGACGUGCAAAUCGAUCGUCAAAUCUGCGCAUGGGGCGAAAGACUAAUCG
This 848-nucleotide ribosomal RNA is filed under the name Castanediella cagnizarii. RNAcentral's name for it is "eukaryotic LSU rRNA". It matches the Rfam family "Eukaryotic large subunit ribosomal RNA", at positions 55 to 937 of the family's 3401-position model. Lineage: Eukaryota; Fungi; Ascomycota; Sordariomycetes; Amphisphaeriales; Castanediellaceae. The record is from RNAcentral.